UGCCUUGACACUAGGAGUCGAUGAAGGACGGGACUAACGCCGAUAUGCUUCGGGGAGCUGUAAGUAAGCUUUGAUCCGAAGAUUUCCGAAUGGGGAAACCCACCAUACGUAAUGGUAUGGUAUCCUUGCCUGAAUACAUAGGGUAAGGAAGACAGACCCAGGGAACUGAAACAUCUAAGUACCUGGAGGAAGAGAAAGCAAAUGCGAUUUCCUGAGUAGCGGCGAGCGAAACGGAACAUAGCCCAAACCAAGAGG
Molecule: ribosomal RNA, 255 nt
Filed under: Bacillus wiedmannii
Lineage: Bacteria; Bacillati; Bacillota; Bacilli; Caryophanales; Bacillaceae
Also listed under: 2 other names
Description: partial 23S ribosomal RNA
Rfam family: Bacterial large subunit ribosomal RNA
Source: RNAcentral